RNAcentral lists this ribosomal RNA (293 nucleotides) under uncultured bacterium. Its description in RNAcentral is "partial 16S ribosomal RNA". It matches the Rfam family "Bacterial small subunit ribosomal RNA", at positions 505 to 796 of the family's 1533-position model. The record is from RNAcentral.
GUGUCAGCAGCCGCGGUAAUACGGAAGGGGCGAGCGUUGUUCGGAUUCAUUGGGCGUAAAGCGCGUGUAGGCGGUCUGGUCAGUCGAAGGUGAAAUCGCUACGGCUUAACCGAGCAAUUGCCCUCGAAACUGCCAGACUUGAGUGCGGAAGAGGUGAGUGGAAUUCCCAGUGUAGCGGUGAAAUGCGUAGAUAUUGGGAGGAACACCAGUGGCGAAGGCGGCUCACUGGUCCGCAACUGACGCUGAGACGCGAAAGCGUGGGGAGCGAACGGGAUUAGAUACCCCCGUAGUCC